GCGGAAAUGAAGAGUCGGCGUAGCGACAACUUCAAUAAAUCAAGCGUGAUAUGAAGCGGUGGUUGCAGCACCUUAUCUGGAUCUACCAAGACCCUUCUAGUGGAAAUGAGGCACCAGCGAGCAUUGUGGCCAAACCUUGAUAAUCAAUUCAGCAUCGUGGUUUAAAAGGCCACGCAUACUGUAAGCGGAACAGCCUUAAAAAAGAAGAAAAAAGGAGCUCCUUAGACAAAGCAUUUUUUUUCCAGGUCCUCACAAAAAGAGUGUAACUGCUUUGAAAUGAAAUUGAAUGAUUUUUUUUUUUCAUUUCUGUCUAUUUUUAAAUGGACAGCUGACCGUUUAGUAACCCAGAAUCGAAGAAUUUUAAAACACAGAUGCUAUAAAAGGACUCCCAUAAGCUCUCCAGAGUCUUGAUAGAAAAGAAAAAGAAUAGUCCAGGAAAUUGAAGAAAGAAUGGACAAACAAGCAAAUGUUAGCCCUACAGAUGGACUGAGGCAGAAAAUUCACCCACUGUAAUAGUUAUUGUUGUUGCUGUUAUUAUAAUAAAAAUAAACUGCACUGGCCAUAAAGUUCCUGAAAGUCAGUCAUCAUUAUAUUUUCUGUAUUUGUUUGUAUGUAUUUAUGUAUAUGUAUAUGCUACCUGAAGUACCUGUUGCCGGUCGGUCUUGGAUGGGAUCCCACUUUGGCCAGGACAAAACUUUGUGUGCGCUGAAGGCAUCCUCCAUUCCAUUCCAGCGCACUCCUGCUCCCUGAUGGGAUCUGUAGUCUUUGCACUGGUGCUGGUAUUUGGGUUGCCUCCUAUAUUACAACUCCUCACUCUGGUAUCCCCUAUAGCUUGUAUUUUAAGUCUUUAUGCCUUUUGCCUUAAUUAGUGUUUGUUAUAAAGAGAAUAUUCAGAACAUGCAUGGGGACUGCAAACAACAUUUUCCUGCCUGUAGAAUAAAUUUGUGGGAUAUUCUGCCACAUUGAGGGAACAAAUGUGGACUGGGGUGCAGUCUCCAGAAUGACUGAGUCUUUGAUCCUUUGUUUUUAUCACUGUGCCCUCAAGGGGGCACCAUGUCAUACCUGGGGGUUACAGGGGCAGUCAUGCUGUACAGUAUAUAAUGAUAGUCAAGGAUGGGUGUACUGCUCCUAGAAAACACCACAAGACCUGGAAAGGUCAUCAAUGGGAGCAGUGGGCCGUGCUGUGUGUGUGACUUAGUGGCCGUCUCUUCAAUGUGACAAGAAUGCCAUCUAAGUAACUUUUUAAUUUCAGCUAGAAUUAAAAUUCUGUGGUUCUGUAGAUGACAUAAACUCCAAAUGAAACUGUUUGAUAUAUCAACUCUCUUCAUGUCUAUACUCACUUCUUUCUCAUUGAAGGCACCACAGCACUCAGGAGUAUCAUUUUUUUUAACCAUCCUUCCAGUUUUCAUACAGUUCAGAGUUACAGAGGGCCAGAGCUCAAUCCAGCAAUACUGGGUAGUAAAGAAAAAAAAACAAAUUCAAUAUAAAGUGCUAGUCUAUGCAGCACACACAUUCAGACAGGACUAACUUGGAUUUACCAGUCUGUAUGGCCAGCUUGUCUUUAGAUGUAGGAGUAAAGUCACAGGGCCACAGGGACAACAUCCAAACUACCAACAGAAAUUGAUCAGGGAGGGAAAUGGCAUAUAAGGACUCUUGUUCAUUUUUUAAGAAAUGAAUCAAAAUGCAUUGUUCUAACUGAAAUUUUAUAAAGUGUAAUCUUAAAAUAUGGCAAACUAUACACCCAAAAAUCUCUUUUUGUAUUAAGUUUCUGUUUAACUGGCCAGUUACUUAUUAUUUUAUCCGCCUGUUGACUCAAAGCUGCAUCUAUCAAGGCAACAAAACUAUUUACAGGAUAAAAAAAAAAAAAAAAA
This is a long non-coding RNA of Polypterus senegalus (gray bichir), 1871 nucleotides long. RefSeq lists it as uncharacterized. The record is from RefSeq and is a predicted model, not a curated record. The transcript is spliced from 3 exons. Lineage: Eukaryota; Metazoa; Chordata; Cladistia; Polypteriformes; Polypteridae.